This 367-nucleotide ribosomal RNA is filed under the name Actinomycetota bacterium. RNAcentral describes it as "bacterial SSU rRNA". It matches the Rfam family "Bacterial small subunit ribosomal RNA", at positions 1176 to 1533 of the family's 1533-position model. Lineage: Bacteria; Bacillati; Actinomycetota. The record is from RNAcentral.
GGGAUGACGUCAAAUCAUCAUGCCCCUUAUGUCUUGGGCUUCACGCAUGCUACAAUGGCCGGUACAGAGGGCUGCAAUACCGCAAGGUGGAGCGAAUCCCAAAAAGCCGGUCUCAGUUCGGAUUGAGGUCUGCAACUCGACCUCAUGAAGUCGGAGUCGCUAGUAAUCGUAGAUCAGCAACGCUACGGUGAAUACGUUCCCGGGCCUUGUACACACCGCCCGUCAAGUCACGAAAGUCGAUAACACCCGAAGCCGGUGGCCUAACCGCAAGGAGGGAGCCGUCGAAGGUGGGAUUGGUGAUUGGGACUAAGUCGUAACAAGGUAGCCGUACCGGAAGGUGCGGCUGGAUCACCUCCUUUCUAAGGAG